GGAUGAUCCGCCACACUGGAACUGAGACACGGUCCAGACUCCUACGGGAGGCAGCAGUGGGGAAUUUUGGACAAUGGGGGCAACCCUGAUCCAGCCAUGCCGCGUGAGUGAAGAAGGCCUUCGGGUUGUAAAGCUCUUUCGGCCGGGAAGAAAUCGUAUGGGUUAAUACCCUGUGCGGAUGACGGUACCGGCAUAAGAAGCACCGGCUAACUACGUGCCAGCAGCCGCGGUAAUACGUAGGGUGCGAGCGUUAAUCGGAAUUACUGGGCGUAAAGCGUGCGCAGGCGGUUUUGUAAGACAGGCGUGAAAUCCCCGGGCUCAACCUGGGAACUGCGCUUGUGACUGCAAGGCUAGAGUACGGCAGAGGGGGGGUGGAAUUCCACGUGUAGCAGUGAAAUGCGUAGGAUGUGGAGGAACACCAAUGGCGAAGGCAGCCCCCUGGGUCGAUACUGACGCUCAUGCACGAAAGCGUGGGUAGCAAACAGGAUUAGAUACCCUGGUAGUCCACGCCCUAAACGAUGUCAACUAGGUGUUGGGUGGGUAAAACCAUUUAGUACCGGAGCUAACGCGUGAAGUUGACCGCCUAGGGAGUACGGCCGCAAGGUUAAAACUCAAAGGAAUUGACGGGGACCCGCACAAGCGGUGGAUGAUGUGGAUUAAUUCGAUGCAACGCGAAAAACCUUACCUACCCUUGACAUGUCCAGGAGCCUGAAGAGAUUUGGGUGUGCCCGAAAGGGAACUGGAACACAGGUGCUGCAUGGCUGUCGUCAGCUCGUGUCGUGAGAUGUUGGGUUAAGUCCCGCAACGAGCGCAUCCCUUGUCGUUAAUUGCCAUCAUUUAGUUGGGCACUUUAACGAGACUGCCGGUGACAAACCGGAGGAAGGUGGGGAUGACGUCAAGUCCUCAUGGCCCUUAUGGGUAGGGCUUCACACGUCAUACAAUGGUCGGUACAAAGGGUCGCCAACCCGCGAGGGGGAGCCAAUCCCAGAAAGCCGAUCGUAGUCCGGAUCGUAGGCUGCAACUCGCCUGCGUGAAGUCGGAAUCGCUAGUAAUCGUGGAUCAGCAUGUCACGGUGAAUACGUUCCCGGGUCUUGUACACACCGCCCGUCACACCAUGGGAGCGGGUUCCGCCAGAAGUAGGUAGCCUAACCGCAAGGGGGGCGCUUACCACGGCGGGGUUCGUGACUGGGGUGAAGUCGUAACAAGGUA
RNAcentral lists this ribosomal RNA (1209 nucleotides) under metagenome. Its description in RNAcentral is "bacterial SSU rRNA". It matches the Rfam family "Bacterial small subunit ribosomal RNA", at positions 298 to 1498 of the family's 1533-position model. The record is from RNAcentral.